AGGCCAGUAGCUCAAUCGGCAGAGCAGCAGUCUCCAAAACUGCAGGUUGGGGGUUCGAUUCCCUCCUGGCCUGCCA
Molecule: transfer RNA, 76 nt
Filed under: Gammaproteobacteria bacterium
Lineage: Bacteria; Pseudomonadati; Pseudomonadota; Gammaproteobacteria
Description: tRNA-Trp
Rfam family: tRNA
About the family: Transfer RNA (tRNA) molecules are approximately 80 nucleotides in length. Their secondary structure includes four short double-helical elements and three loops (D, anti-codon, and T loops). Further hydrogen bonds mediate the characteristic L-shaped molecular structure. tRNAs have two regions of fundamental functional importance: the anti-codon, which is responsible for specific mRNA codon recognition, and the 3' end, to which the tRNAs corresponding amino acid is attached (by aminoacyl-tRNA synthetases). tRNAs cope with the degeneracy of the genetic code in two manners: having more than one tRNA (with a specific anti-codon) for a particular amino acid; and 'wobble' base-pairing, i.e. permitting non-standard base-pairing at the 3rd anti-codon position.
Source: RNAcentral